RNAcentral lists this ribosomal RNA (510 nucleotides) under uncultured bacterium. Its description in RNAcentral is "partial 16S ribosomal RNA". It matches the Rfam family "Bacterial small subunit ribosomal RNA", at positions 28 to 507 of the family's 1533-position model. The record is from RNAcentral.
GACGAACGCUGGCGGCGUGCUUAACACAUGCAAGUCGAACGAAGAGCGAUGGAAGCUUGCUUCUAUCAAUCUUAGUGGCGAACGGGUGAGUAACGCGUAAUCAACCUGCCCUUCAGAGGGGGACAACAGUUGGAAACGACUGCUAAUACCGCAUACGAUCUAAUCUCGGCAUCGAGGAUAGAUGAAAGGUGGCCUCUACAUGUAAGCUAUCACUGAAGGAGGGGAUUGCGUCUGAUUAGCUAGUUGGAGGGGUAACGGCCCACCAAGGCGAUGAUCAGUAGCCGGUCUGAGAGGAUGAACGGCCACAUUGGGACUGGGACACGGCCCAGACUCCUACGGGAGGCAGCAGUGGGGAAUCUUCCGCAAUGGACGAAAGUCUGACGGAGCAACGCCGCGUGAGUGAUGACGGCCUUCGGGUUGUAAAGCUCUGUUAAUCGGGACGAAAGGCCUUCUUGCGAACAGUUAGAAGGAUUGACGGUACCGGAAUAGAAAGCCACGGCUAACUACGUG